AGAGUUUGAUCCUGGCUCAGGAUGAACGCUAGCGAUAGGCCUAACACAUGCAAGUCGAGGGGCAACACAUGAAGUAGCAAUACGGAUGGUGGCGACCGGCGCACGGGUGAGUAACGCGUAUGCAAUCUACCUACAACAAGGGGAUAACCCGUUGAAAGACGGACUAAUACCCUAUAAUACAGGGGUCCCGCAUGGGAAUAUUUGUUAAAGAUUCAUCGGUUGUAGAUGAGCAUGCGUUCCAUUAGCUAGUUGGUGAGGUAACGGCCCACCAAGGCAACGAUGGAUAGGGGAACUGAGGGGUUUAUCCCCCACACUGGUACUGAGACACGGACCAGACUCCUACGGGAGGCAGCAGUGAGGAAUAUUGGUCAAUGGACGCAAGUCUGAACCAGCCACGUCGCGUGAAGGAAGACGGCCCUACGGGUUGUAAACUUCUUUUGUAAGGGAAUAAAGUGAGUCACGAGUGACUUUUUGCAUGUACCUUACGAAUAAGGAUCGGCUAACUCCGUGCCAGCAGCCGCGGUAAUACGGAGGAUCCGAGCGUUAUCCGGAUUUAUUGGGUUUAAAGGGUGCGCAGGCGGGAGAUUAAGUCGGCGGUGAAAUUUUGCAGCUCAACUGUAAAAGUGCCAUCGAUACUGGUUUUCUUGAGUGUGGAUGAAGUAGGCGGAAUUUGUGGUGUAGCGGUGAAAUGCAUAGAUAUCACGAGGAACACCGAUUGCGCAGGCAGCUUACUAAACCAUAACUGACGCUCAGGCACGAAGGCGUGGGGAUCAAACAGGAUUAGAUACCCUGGUAG
RNAcentral lists this ribosomal RNA (796 nucleotides) under uncultured bacterium. RNAcentral describes it as "bacterial SSU rRNA". It matches the Rfam family "Bacterial small subunit ribosomal RNA", at positions 8 to 793 of the family's 1533-position model. The record is from RNAcentral.